RNAcentral lists this ribosomal RNA (356 nucleotides) under uncultured Pseudomonas sp. Its description in RNAcentral is "bacterial SSU rRNA". It matches the Rfam family "Bacterial small subunit ribosomal RNA", at positions 1026 to 1382 of the family's 1533-position model. The record is from RNAcentral. Lineage: Bacteria; Pseudomonadati; Pseudomonadota; Gammaproteobacteria; Pseudomonadales; Pseudomonadaceae.
CGUCUGACACAGGUGCUGCAUGGCUGUCGUCAGCUCGUGUCGUGAGAUGUUGGGUUAAGUCCGUAACGAGCGCAACCCUUGUCCUUAGUUACCAGCACGUUAUGGUGGGCACUCUAAGGAGACUGCCGGUGACAAACCGGAGGAAGGUGGGGAUGACGUCAAGUCAUCAUGGCCUUUACGGCCUGGGCUACACACGUGCUACAAUGGUCGGUACAAAGGGUUGCCAAGCCGCGAGGUGGAGCUAAUCCCAUAAAACCGAUCGUAGUCCGGAUCGCAGUCUGCAACUCGACUGCGUGAAGUCGGAAUCGCUAGUAAUCGUGAAUCAGGAUGUCACGGUGAAUACGUUCCCGGGCCUU